This is a long non-coding RNA of Hemicordylus capensis (graceful crag lizard), 899 nucleotides long. RefSeq lists it as uncharacterized. Lineage: Eukaryota; Metazoa; Chordata; Lepidosauria; Squamata; Cordylidae. The record is from RefSeq and is a predicted model, not a curated record. The transcript has 2 exons.
GGGUUAAAACUGAUAGCGACCUAGAAAAUAACAGCUUAAAAUCUGGGAGACGGGUAGGGAAAGGCCCUAGGGCUUUAGCAGAGGUAAAGACCAAAGAUGCAGGAGGGGAAACUGAUGGACGGUAGACUGCCGAGAGCCAACAAAGAGUCGUGUGGCGCCUUAAAGACUAACAAGUUUGUUGUGGCGAAGGUUUUCGUGGACCAGAUCGUCAGGUGUAAGAAAUGUUAUCCUGCUUCCAAGUAUGCACGUUUGAUAUACUGUAUUAAGAGCAAUCCUAUAUUUACUCAGAUAUCUUACUGUGUUCAAUGGAGCUCACUAGACUUUUUUUACUUCACAAUGAAUUGCAAAUUAGGUUCUAUGCAAGUAAGUACAACGUGAUACAAUUUUUUGUUGUUUAAAAGCCUUAAACUUCACAUAUACCCUGAUGAGAUCUGCACUGCCUUCGAUUAACCAGGAAGGAGCCCUUGGAUAAUAGUCAUGGCGGAUAGCUCAAUGAAAGCGUCUGCUUGGUAACUGAGCGAAGAGGCACCUUUUAAAAGUGGCGAUUCUCUUUAUUGAGCAGGUGGAGAGCAACUGGCGCUGUCUAUCCCCAGCACACAUCGCUCCAGUGUUUCUUUUUUAGAUUGUGAGCUUGUUGGGAACCUUUGAGGAGACAGAAUGGACAGAUAAAGGGAAACAACUGAUGGAUUCCGUCUGAGAAAUACUCAUAGUCCAACAGAAAAACAAUAGCAAGACACCAUUGCUGAAACUUAUUGAAGAUUAAUUGAACUUAUUGGACAUUUGAAAAAGACACAUUGAAACAGCGUAUAAUACCAGAAAGCUGUUGUAGUCUCAUAGUUUUCGAUAUUAUUGUUCUAUUGUUUGUAUAUAUGUAUUGUUAUAAAUGUUUGGUAAUUACA